Molecule: ribosomal RNA, 1858 nt
Filed under: metagenome
Description: bacterial LSU rRNA
Rfam family: Bacterial large subunit ribosomal RNA
Source: RNAcentral
CCGUGAUAGCUGGUUCUCCCCGAAAUGCAUUUAGGUGCAGCGUCACGUGUUUCUUCCCGGAGGUAGAGCUACUGGAUGGACGAUGGGCCCUACAAGGUUACUGACUUCAGCCAAACUCCGAAUGCCGGGAAGUGAGAGCGUGGCAGUGAGACUGUGGGGGAUAAGCUUCAUAGUCGAGAGGGAAACAGCCCAGACCACCGGUUAAGGCCCCUAAGCGUGUGCUAAGUGGGAAAGGAUGUGGAGUUGCUGAGACAACCAGGAGGUUGGCUUAGAAGCAGCCACCCUUGAAAGAGUGCGUAAUAGCUCACUGGUCAAGUGAUUCCGCGCCGACAAUGUAGCGGGGCUCAAGUACACCGCCGAAACCGUGGCAUUCAGUUUUGCUGGAUGGGUAGGGGAGCGUCGUUCACGAGGUGAAGCCAGCGGGUAACUUCUGGUGGAUUGUGGACGAGUGAGAAUGCAGGCAUGAGUAGCGAAAGACGGGUGAGAAACCCGUCCGCCGGAUGACUAAGGGUUCCAGGGUCAAGCUAAUCUGCCCUGGGUAAGUCGGGACCUAAGGCGAGGCCGACAGGCGUAGUCGAUGGACAACGGGUUGAUAUUCCCGUACCAGUGAAGAACCGCCCAUGCUGAGCCGGUGAUACUAACCGCCCGAACCAUCCCGAACCCCGUCUUUGACGGGGUCGGUGAUGGGGAGCGCGGGACCUGAACCGGGGAGGCAAGCGCAUUAACAGGUGUGACGCAGGAAGGUAGCCGGGCCGGGCAAUGGAAAUGACCUGGUCUAAGGGUGUAGGGCUGCCGGUAGGUAAAUCCGCCGGCUGUAUGCCUGAGACCUGAUGGGCGCCCACAUGGUGGGUGAUCCGGUGAUCCUAUGCUGCCUAGAAAAGCAUCGGCGCGAGGUUCAAACUGCCCGUACCCUAAACCGACACAGGUGGUCAGGUAGAGAAUACUAAGGCGAUCGAGAGAAUCAUGGUUAAGGAACUCGGCAAAAUGCCCCCGUAACUUCGGGAGAAGGGGGGCCCCAACCUUGAGCACCACGUGCUGGUGUGAGGGGAUCGGGGCCGCAGAGACCAGGGGGAAGCGACUGUUUAUCAAAAACACAGGUCCAUGCGAAGUCGUAAGACGAUGUAUAUGGACUGACUCCUGCCCGGUGCUGGAAGGUUAAGGGGACCCGUUAGCUUCGGCGAAGCGGAGAACUUAAGCCCCAGUAAACGGCGGUGGUAACNAUAACCAUCCUAAGGUAGCGAAAUUCCUUGUCGGGUAAGUUCCGACCUGCACGAAUGGAGUAACGACUUCCCCGCUGUCUCAACCNUGAACUCGGCGAAAUUGCAUUACGAGUAAAGAUGCUCGUUACGCGCAGAAGGACGGAAAGACCCCGUGACCUUUACUAUAGUUUGGUAUUGGUAUUCGGUGUGACUUGUGUAGGAUAGGUGGGAGACUGUGAAGCGGGCACGCCAGUGUUCGUGGAGUCNNCGUUGAAAUACCACUCUGGUCACUCUGGAUAUCUAACUUCGGCCCGUGAUCCGGGUCAGGGACAGUGCCUGAUGGGUAGUUUAACUGGGGCGGUUGCCUCCCAAAAUGUAACGGAGGCGCCCAAAGGUUCCCUCAGCCUGGUUGGCAAUCAGGUGGUGAGUGUAAGUGCACAAGGGAGCUUGACUGUGAGACAGACAUGUCGAGCAGGGACGAAAGUCGGGACUAGUGAUCCGGCACCUACUUGUGGAUGUGGUGUCGCUCAACGGAUAAAAGGUACCCCGGGGAUAACAGGCUGAUCUUCCCCAAGAGUCCAUAUCGACGGGAUGGUUUGGCACCUCGAUGUCGGCUCGUCGCAUCCUGGGGCUGGAGUAGGUCCCAAGGGUUGGGCUGU